AUAAAGGGUGUUUGCCUCUUCAUGGCAUGCGAGUGUGAUGGGCCUUGUGCCUGUCGCCUUGUAGAGUAUGGCAAUCAAGACAUACCCAACACAUAAUUUUUGUUUUCCUGGGGCAGUCGGCUGUCAGACACACCGGCGCCCCU
This is a small nuclear RNA of Frankliniella occidentalis (western flower thrips), 143 nucleotides long. RefSeq annotates it as U11 spliceosomal RNA. Lineage: Eukaryota; Metazoa; Arthropoda; Insecta; Thysanoptera; Thripidae. The record is from RefSeq and is a predicted model, not a curated record. The transcript has a single exon.